This 492-nucleotide ribosomal RNA is filed under the name uncultured bacterium. RNAcentral's name for it is "partial 16S ribosomal RNA". It matches the Rfam family "Bacterial small subunit ribosomal RNA", at positions 29 to 507 of the family's 1533-position model. The record is from RNAcentral.
AGUGAACGCUGGCGGUAGGCCUAACACAUGCAAGUCGAACGGCAGCACAGUAAGAGCUUGCUCUUACGGGUGGCGAGUGGCGGACGGGUGAGGAAUACAUCGGAAUCUACUUUUUCGUGGGGGAUAACGUAGGGAAACUUACGCUAAUACCGCAUACGCCCUACGGGUGAAAGCAGGGGAUCUUCGGACCUUGCGCGAUUGAAUGAGCCGAUGUCGGAUUAGCUAGUUGGCGGGGUAAAGGCCCACCAAGGCGACGAUCCGUAGCUGGUCUGAGAGGAUGAUCAGCCACACUGGAACUGGGACACGGUCCAGACUCCUACGGGAGGCAGCAGUGGGGAAUAUUGGACAAUGGGCGCAAGCCUGAUCCAGCCAUACCGCGUGAGUGAAGAAGGCCUUCGGGUUGUAAAGCCCUUUUGUUGGGAAAGAAAAGCAGCAGGUUAAUACCCCGCUGUUCUGACGGUACCCAAAGAAUAAGCACCGGCUAACUUCGUG